CCUGAUAGCUCAGUUGGUAAAGAAUCUGUCUGCAAAGUGGAAGACCCUGGUUCGAUUCCUGGGUCAGGA
This 69-nucleotide transfer RNA is filed under the name Bos taurus (domestic cattle). It matches the Rfam family "tRNA". From Rfam's summary of the family: Transfer RNA (tRNA) molecules are approximately 80 nucleotides in length. Their secondary structure includes four short double-helical elements and three loops (D, anti-codon, and T loops). The record is from Rfam by way of RNAcentral. Lineage: Eukaryota; Metazoa; Chordata; Mammalia; Artiodactyla; Bovidae.